Molecule: ribosomal RNA, 253 nt
Filed under: uncultured bacterium
Lineage: Bacteria
Description: partial 16S ribosomal RNA
Rfam family: Bacterial small subunit ribosomal RNA
Source: RNAcentral
UACGUAGGGUGCGAGCGUUAAUCGGAAUUACUGGGCGUAAAGGGUGCGCAGGCGGUUAUAUAAGACAGAUGUGAAAUCCCCGGGCUCAACCUGGGAACUGCAUUUGUGACUGCAUCGCUGGAGUACGGCAGAGGGGGAUGGAAUUCCGCGUGUAGCAGUGAAAUGCGUAGAUAUGCGGAGGAACACCGAUGGCGAAGGCAGUGUCCUGGGAAGUACCUGACGCUCAGGUGCGAAAGCUAGGGGAGCGAACAGG